Molecule: ribosomal RNA, 380 nt
Filed under: Gomphus consanguis
Lineage: Eukaryota; Metazoa; Arthropoda; Insecta; Odonata; Gomphidae
Description: partial 16S ribosomal RNA
Source: RNAcentral
GUCCUCUUGUUUAUAUAUGAGGUCUGACCUGCCCGGUGAUUUAUUUUAACGGCCGCAGUAUUUUGACUGUGCAAAGGUAGCAUAAUCAUUAGUCUUUUAAUAGGAGGCUGGUAUGAAGGGUUUGACGAGGUGUUUACUGUCUCAUUUGGUUUGUAUUUAGAAUUUAACUUUUCAGUUAAAAGGCUGAAAUUUUAUUGGAAGACGAGAAGACCCUAUAGAGCUUUAUAAUUAACGUUUUAAUAAUUUUUUGUAUAUUAUUUUUUAUUAUUACUUUAUUUAUUUUGUUGGGGUGACAAAAAUAUAUAAUUAACUUUUUUAUUUAAUUAACAUUGAUUUAUGAGUAUUAGAUCCAUUAUUAUUGAUUGUUAGAUUAAGUUACC